Molecule: ribosomal RNA, 450 nt
Filed under: uncultured bacterium
Lineage: Bacteria
Description: partial 16S ribosomal RNA
Rfam family: Bacterial small subunit ribosomal RNA
Source: RNAcentral
GUUAGGAAUAUUGGACAAUGGGCGCAAGCCUGAUCCAGCCAUUCCGCGUGCAGGAUGAAGGCCUUCGGGUUGUAAACUGCUUUUGUACGGAACGAAAAGCCUCUGGUUAAUACCCGGGGGUCAUGACGGUACCGUAAGAAUAAGCACCGGCUAACUACGUGCCAGCAGCCGCGGUAAUACGUAGGGUGCGAGCGUUAAUCGGAAUUACUGGGCGUAAAGCGUGCGCAGGCGGUGAUGUAAGACAGUUGUGAAAUCCCCGGGCUCAACCUGGGAACUGCAUCUGUGACUGCAUUGCUGGAGUGCGGCAGAGGGGGAUGGAAUUCCGCGUGUAGCAGUGAAAUGCGUAGAUAUGCGGAGGAACACCGAUGGCGAAGGCAAUCCCCUGGGCCUGCACUGACGCUCAUGCACGAAAGCGUGGGGAGCAAACAGGAUUAGAAACCCGUGUAGUCC